GGUUUCAUAGUGUAAAGGUUAGCACGUCUGCUUUACACACAGAAGAUCCUGGGUUCAUGUCCUGGUGGAGCCA
Molecule: transfer RNA, 73 nt
Filed under: Pteropus alecto (black flying fox)
Lineage: Eukaryota; Metazoa; Chordata; Mammalia; Chiroptera; Pteropodidae
Rfam family: tRNA
About the family: Transfer RNA (tRNA) molecules are approximately 80 nucleotides in length. Their secondary structure includes four short double-helical elements and three loops (D, anti-codon, and T loops).
Source: Rfam by way of RNAcentral